GUCCUUAAACAAACAAACAAACAGAGCAUUUGGGAGGCUUAAUCUUCUUCUAACUUCUAGUUAGGGAAGGUAACAGUAAAAAAAUGUUUUUCUUUCCUCUAUGAGUUCAAAGAACACUUUAUCAUUGAAUAUGGAGAUGCCAGACAGUUUAAUGUGCAAUAUUUGGUUUUAAUGCAGAAAUUUGUGGUUUCGUCAGAUUUAUAAAUUGAUUUCAGGAAAUAUGGGAUUUCCAAAUGAUUUACCUUUGUUUUCUGCUAACAUUACUUAUAUUGUGACUUUUAAUCUUUUCUGGAUUAAUACUAUAAAUUACAUUUUAAUACAUAUAGAAUACUUUGUGUUUAGAAUUUUUCAGUGUUGUCCAUUGGGUGAAUACGAUCAUUUUUUCUGAUACAGUUAGUGCUUAUUUUAGCCUUGUCUUGAUACUUCACAAUAACUGUAAAAAGCAAAGAAUUGGACAAAGAAAGGGCUGCAGAUGUUUCCAAUACCUUGACCCCUUAAACGAAAGCUGACAUUUAAUUGUUGUUUGUAGCAUUUUUUUCAUGCAGUUUACAUUGAAAUACCUUUUCGAAUGUGCUCCUGGGAAGAUGAGACAUUAUGUAUGUUGGUUUCUCCCCCUACAUGCACUAAUGGUUCUUUACUGUUAACUUAUUGCUAGGCCUGUUUCAUUCUAACAUCUUAGCAUUUUUGUUAGACUACAUGUUGAAAUGCAUCACUCAGUCUGUGCUUGAGCUCAUUUUAUUUUUCUGUUUAAUCAACUUAAUUUCUUGUUUUACUAACCUCACUGUUUUUUCAGUUUAAUAUUGGCUGCAUGCUAGUUAAAUAUUUAUAUUAUAUAUAUUAUUAUUAUUUUUUUAAACCAAUCAAGUCUAGCCUGGAUUUUGCUCUGAUUGUUUUUUCAUUUCUAGUGGUGGGGCAGUCUUACACUUAUAACUUACUUUGUAUCAUGAAAGCCUGACACAUAAACAAAACAACUAAACACAGUGUAGAUUUUCUUUAAAAAAAAAAAAUCUUAAAGUGGUGCUGUUUAGGUGGUGGAUAUGACUGUAUAAGUACCUUGAUUUUAUGCUUUUUAGUGUUAUUUUAAAACUUCAUAAAUGUAUUCUUCCCCUUUUCCCUUUCCCCUUUUUCUCCAUUUAAAAAUGUUAUAUACAAAAGUUGCCCAACACACCAUCAGAAAGGACCCUUACCCCAUAUGUUCUUCCCAUGUAAAAUACUAGCCAGCUUUUCUUUUUACAUUAAUGUCCCUCUUAUUGGGCACAUUUACCCUAUUAUUAGCACCUUUUUGCAUGCAUAUAUGUAGAAGUAUCUCUUGCUCAUCAUCUGUUUAAAUGUCUCUAGGAAGGGAAGAAUAUAUUAUUGGAAUAUUUUUGGUUUGUCUCUCUGUUCUGUCUGUCAGGAUAAUAUUGGACACCGCUUACUCCAGAAACAUGGGUGGAAGCUGGGCCAGGGAUUGGGAAAAUCUCUUCAGGCAUUAUGAUCCUGGACUUGUUGUGGUGAUGGUAAUCUUAGCAGUGGGAGAACAGAUCCCAUUCCAAUCGUUGUCAAGUAUGAUGUCAUGGGCAUGGGUCGCAUGGAAAUGGAGCUUGAUUAUGCUGAAGAUGCUACCGAACGGCGCCGUGUCCUAGAAGUAGAAAAAGAAGACACAGAAGAGCUGAGACAAAAGUACAAGGAUUAUGUUGACAAAGAGAAGGCAAUUGCCAAAGCCUUGGAAGACCUCAGAGCCAACUUUUAUUGUGAACUGUGUGAUAAGCAAUAUCAGAAACAUCAGGAAUUUGAUAACCAUAUCAACUCCUAUGAUCAUGCACACAAGCAGAGAUUAAAAGAUCUGAAGCAGAGAGAGUUUGCUCGAAAUGUCUCUUCAAGAUCCCGCAAGGAUGAGAAAAAACAGGAAAAAGCCCUUCGGCGGCUCCAUGAGUUGGCAGAGCAAAGAAAACAAGCUGAAUGUGCACCUGGAAGUGGUCCCAUGUUCAAACCAACCACAGUGGCUGUAGAUGAAGAAGGUGGAGAAGAUGAUAAAGAUGAAUCAGCUACAAAUAGUGGCACAGGUGCCACUGCUUCUUGUGGCCUGGGAUCUGAAUUCUCCACAGAUAAAGGAGGCCCUUUCACUGCAGUACAAAUCACUAAUACCACUGGACUGGCCCAGGCUCCUGGGUUAGCCUCCCAAGGCAUCAGCUUUGGCAUUAAGAAUAAUCUGGGGACCCCAUUGCAAAAAUUGGGAGUGUCAUUUUCUUUUGCCAAGAAGGCUCCUGUCAAACUCGAAUCAAUAGCAUCAGUUUUCAAGGACCAUGCGGAAGAAGGGACCUCUGAAGAUGGAACAAAACCCGAUGAGAAGGGUUCUGACCAAGGACUGCAGAAGGUAGGAGACUCUGAUGGGAGCAGUAAUCUUGAUGGUAAAAAAGAGGAUGAAGACCCUCAGGAUGGAGGGUCCCUUGCCUCAACAUUAUCCAAAUUAAAAAGGAUGAAACGAGAAGAAGGAGCUGGGGCUACAGAGCCUGAGUAUUACCACUACAUCCCCCCAGCACACUGCAAAGUAAAACCUAAUUUUCCCUUUCUACUUUUUAUGAGAGCCAGUGAACAAAUGGAUGGUGAUAAUACUACACACCCAAAGAAUGCCCCAGAGAGUAAAAAAGGCAGUUCUCCCAAGCCUAAAAGCUGCAUCAAGGCGGCAGCAAGCCAAGGAGCAGAAAAGACAGUUAGUGAAGUCUCUGAGCAGCCGAAGGAAACCAGCAUGACCGAGCCCUCAGAACCAGGAAGCAAAGCUGAGGCAAAGAAGGCCUUAGGAGGGGAUGUAAGUGAUCAGAGUUUAGAAAGUCAUAGUCAGAAGGUUUCAGAGACCCAAAUGUGUGAGUCCAACUCUUCUAAAGAAACCUCUCUGGCCACCCCAGCAGGGAAAGAAAGCCAAGAAGGACCCAAACAUCCUACUGGUCCCUUCUUCCCAGUUUUGAGCAAAGAUGAAAGCACUGCCCUCCAGUGGCCAUCAGAACUAUUAAUUUUCACCAAGGCAGAACCCUCCAUUUCAUACAGUUGUAACCCUUUAUAUUUUGACUUUAAACUUUCAAGGAACAAAGAUGCCAGAACUAAAGGAACAGAAAAACCAAAGGAUAUAGGAAGCUCCUCAAAGGACCAUCUCCAAGGCCUAAAUCCUGGUGAGCCAAAUAAAAACAAGGAAGUGGGCGGAGAGAAAAUAGUACGUUCCUCAGGAGGCAGAAUGGACGCACCUGCUUCAGGGUCUGCCUGUAGCGGCCUGAACAAGCAGGAGCCUGGGGGUAGCCAUGGGUCUGAGACAGAAGACACAGGGAGAAGCCUUCCCAGCAAGAAAGAACGAUCUGGGAAGUCCCACCGGCACAAAAAGAAAAAGAAGCACAAAAAAUCCAGCAAACACAAACGUAAACACAAGGCUGACACAGAAGAGAAAAGCUCUAAGGCAGAGUCAGGGGAGAAAUCUAAGAAGCGCAAGAAACGAAAACGAAAGAAGAAUAAGUCAUCAGCCCCAGCAGAUUCUGAACGAGGACCCAAACCAGAACCCCCUGGGAGUGGCAGUCCCGCACCACCAAGAAGAAGGCGGCGAGCUCAAGAUGACUCCCAGCGGAGAUCCCUCCCAGCUGAAGAGGGGAGCAGUGGCAAAAAGGAUGAAGGUGGGGGUGGUAGCAGCUCCCAAGACCAUGGUGGGAGGAAACACAAAGGUGAACUUCCACCUUCAUCCUGCCAGCGAAGAGCAGGCACCAAACGGAGCAGCCGGUCUAGCCAUCGGAGCCAACCCAGUAGUGGAGAUGAGGAUAGUGAUGAUGCUUCCUCACACCGGCUGCACCAGAAGUCUCCAUCCCAGUACAGUGAGGAAGAAGAAGAGGAAGAUUCAGGCAGUGAGCAUUCCCGCAGCCGCUCAAGGUCUGGCCGGCGCCAUUCCUCGCAUCGUUCCUCCCGGCGUUCUUACUCAAGUAGCUCAGAUGCCUCUUCAGACCAGAGCUGCUAUAGUAGACAGCGCAGUUACUCUGAUGACAGCUACAGUGACUACAGUGACAGAUCACGAAGGCACUCCAAGCGCUCCCAUGACUCAGAUGACUCAGACUAUGCCAGCUCCAAACACCGAUCAAAACGGCACAAAUAUUCAUCUUCUGAUGAUGACUAUAGCCUCAGUUGCAGCCAGUCCCGAAGCCGAUCUCGGAGUCAUACCAGAGAGCGCUCAAGAUCCCGGGGCCGCAGCCGCAGCAGCAGUUGUAGUCGUAGUCGAAGCAAGCGGAGAAGCCGUAGCACCACAGCCCACAGCUGGCAACGGAGCCGGAGCUAUAGCCGGGACCGCAGCCGCAGCACCAGGAGCCCUUCCCAGAGAUCAGGCUCCAGGAAGGGAUCAUGGGGUCACGAGAGCCCUGAGGAGAGGCAUUCUGGGCGUCGGGACUUCAUUCGUUCUAAGAUCUACCGCUCCCAGUCCCCCCACUAUUUCCGAUCAGGCCGGGGAGAAGGUCCUGGGAAGAAAGAUGAUGGCAGAGGAGAUGACAGUAAAGCAACAGGUCCACCUUCCCAGAACAGCAACAUUGGCACAGGAAGAGGGUCAGAAGGUGACUGCAGUCCUGAAGACAAGAACUCUGUCACUGCCAAACUGCUACUGGAGAAGAUCCAGUCAAGGAAAGUGGAGAGGAAACCUAGUGUGAGUGAGGAGGUGCAGGCCACCCCUAAUAAAGCUGGGCCCAAGCUCAAGGACCCCCCACAAGGUUACUUUGGGCCCAAGCUCCCCCCAUCUCUUGGCAAUAAGCCUGUCCUUCCACUGAUAGGGAAGCUCCCAGCUACCCGAAAGCCCAAUAAGAAGUGUGAAGAGUCUGGCUUGGAAAGGGGGGAAGAGCAAGAACAGUCAGAGACAGAAGAGGGGCCCCCAGGGAGUAGUGAUGCCCUAUUUGCGCAUCAGUUCCCUUCAGAGGAAACAACUGGCCCCUUAUUAGACCCACCCCCAGAAGAGUCAAAGUCUGGAGAAGGUACUGCUGAUCACCCUGUGGCUCCACUAGGCACCCCAGCACAUUCUGACUGCUACCCUGGGGACCCAACCAUCUCCCAUAACUACCUCCCCGACCCCAGUGAUGGGGACACCCUGGAGUCCCUGGAUAGCAGCAGUCAGCCAGGCCCUGUGGAGUCCAGCUUGCUGCCUAUAGCACCAGACCUUGAGCAUUUCCCCAGUUAUGCACCUCCCAGUGGGGAUCCUAGUAUUGAGUCAACAGAUGGGGCUGAGGAUGCUUCACUGGCCCCCCUGGAAAGCCAGCCCAUCACCUUCACCCCUGAGGAGAUGGAGAAGUACAGCAAGCUCCAGCAGGCUGCUCAGCAACACAUCCAGCAGCAGCUUCUGGCCAAGCAAGUAAAGGCCUUUCCAGCCUCAGCUGCCCUGGCCCCAGCCACACCAGCCCUGCAACCCAUCCACAUUCAGCAGCCAGCUACAGCCUCUGCCACCUCCAUCACAACUGUUCAGCAUGCCAUCCUACAACAUCAUGCUGCUGCAGCUGCUGCCGCCAUCGGCAUUCACCCUCACCCCCAUCCCCAACCACUUGCCCAGGUGCAUCAUAUUCCCCAGCCCCAUCUGACCCCCAUUUCUUUGUCCCACCUCACUCACUCAAUCAUCCCUGGCCACCCUGCCACCUUUCUCGCUAGCCAUCCCAUCCACAUCAUUCCCGCCUCAGCCAUCCAUCCUGGGCCCUUCACCUUUCACCCUGUCCCACAUGCUGCCCUCUACCCCACCCUACUUGCUCCACGGCCUGCUGCAGCAGCUGCCACUGCACUCCACCUUCACCCACUACUUCACCCCAUCUUCUCAGGUCAGGACCUGCAACAUCCCCCCAGCCAUGGCACGUGAGUUGGGGGAUGGGAUCCUAGGUAGGGCCAAGGGAGGAGACCCAUAAAUGUUCCCUUGGGGGUGUUGAGCCAUUAAUACCAGCAAGUAGAAGCUGGGAUGGGCAGUGUCUGACAGCCAAAGAAUUGAGUUUUGGCUUGCAGGGGUGGGUUUAGAUUUGAAGUUUGCUUUCAGUUUACUAUCAGGGAUUUCUUUUUCCUGUCCUCCUCUCAAUUUGUCCCUCCCUCUUCUGUGUUUCUAAGCUAGGGAACACCAGUAAGUGCUACCCACCCCUCUGCAGCAACAUCUCCAAACUGUCAAGUUUAGAUAAUCCCCUCCUCCCUCUGCUUUUUUCUCUGCUCUUCCCUUCUAUAAAUUUUAAAACAUUUUCCUCCCCUCUGGCCAGUGGGUUGUCACCAGAGCACUUGCUGUGGGCCCAUCUGGUCUUGCCUUCUCAGCGCCACAGGGAAGGCCAAGCUGUUCUAGUGGUGGAAGUGCCACCACUUUGGGGUAGUAUCUUUGACCAUCUUUGGUGACGUUAUGUUAUCCCAGGUGAGGUGGAAGGCGUCUCACCUGGAACCUGAUAUAACUCAGGCUGCAAUUCCAUCCAGUUCCCACAUCAACGGAGCCACACAUUUGGCACUGUUAUCUUGGUAUCCCUCAUCCCAGAAGAGGCAUCUCCAUAUCCCAGAAAAGAAGAUCCUAUCAUGAAUAAAAGCUGUAUGGAACAUAGAGUUGCCCGUGUACUUUCCCAGAGAGGAGCUCAUGUGUCUGAAGUGAAGGGUAUAUUUUCUUCUGUUGUGUUGAUGUUUCCUUCUUAAUUUAUAGGAUUUUUUUAAUGUAAAAAAUUGCACUGAACUCUAUAAACGUAAAUGCUGCUUUUUGUAGCUCAUAUAAAAAAGGUUCCAUAUUUGUAGUAUACUGCAAUAAUAUUUUUUACAUCCAGCUCUUUAAGUGAUCCUCGUUCUGGUGGCUUUGUGUAAAUAUGUUUGCCCUAGUUGAAUUAAGAAACUCUAAAGGUUAUAAAAUGAAAACAAAAAAAAAUAUUUGUUUUCUGCUAGAUGCAAAACUGACUAAGCAUGUAUAUUUUACCAAACUUAUGUAUUUUUUGAAGUUAUGAACUAUAAAAUGUUAAAACAUUUUUUGCUGGGACAAAAUGUUAAGUAAUUUGCAGUAUGUAGUGCCCCCAGUAUUGGGAUUUUUGAGCUAAUGGGCAGCAGUCAGCUGGGGGCUUCUGAGGGAUGCUCAUCUUUAACAGUCUCCCUCAUGUACUUUUGCUGUUUUACACAGAGAAACAGGUAGACCCCACAGAGGAGAAGGAGGGGAUUCAACAGCUUUAUUGUCUGGAAGCAGUGAGAUUUGGUGAUUGUCUGGGGGGAUUCCUGGGUUUCCCUGGGUACCUUGUUCCAGGCAGUCAGUCCAUUUGCCUUCCUAGUACUUAGCCCCCUCUGACAAUUUUUUUUUUUAAUGUGCCUUUUGGGUUGGUAGAAACUGAAGUAGAAGUAGGCUGGAGGAUGAGUUGGGACAGUCUUCCUUUUGUUGGGAGGUGAGCACAUUUACAGAUAUUUUGCUUCAUAGUUUCCAUGCCCUCUGCCCAGCUCAGUUUAGACAGUAAACGUUCCUUGUUUCUUUUCUCCCAUGACACUGACAAGAGGAAUUACCACCUCAGCCUCUUUUGCCCCUCUUCUUGCCUUUCACCCAGGCUCUCAGCCCUAAUUAACACACUGACCCAAAGGUGCUUGUGUUGCAGGUCCCAUCUCCUUUGAUGAGGUUAACAAUUCCCACUUUGGCAUUUUCCUAACUAUUCGUGUGGCUAGAAUUGGUUGGUUGGUCACUUGACAAGAAAAACCAUACUUACCUGGGCCAAGGCUCUGUUCCUGCCUUCUCAAAUUCUCAAAAGAGUAAAGUUUAUGAAAAGAAAGUGGCAGGCAAACACAACUCUUGACUGCCCUCCCACCCUCUGCCUGUUCAGUACUCAUCUGAUUCAGAAGCAUCACUUCUUGGAUAACUAGCACUGGAAAAAUGAAAUCAUCUGUGUAAGUGAAGGGACUCAUUUUUCUUUGCUUUCAGCCCAUGUAAAUAAAUAAUACAGUAUUAACAUUUUCGUGCUGCUUCCCAUUAGCUUGUAGAUUGAGCCAUACUCUGGCUGCCUCUUUGCCUUCCUAGGGGCAUUUUCUUUAACUUCCAGAAUAGUGAUUUUAAAAGUAAAAAUAAAAACCUUACUUACAAGCAUAACAGAUUGUAUUUAACUUUAUCACAUAUGAUAGAGAUAUCUAUGCUGUAAAAUGAGGGAAAGGAACUUUCUAAUAAACCAAUGAUUUGUGG
This 8131-nucleotide small RNA is filed under the name Pan troglodytes (chimpanzee). RNAcentral's name for it is "retained intron". The record is from RNAcentral. Lineage: Eukaryota; Metazoa; Chordata; Mammalia; Primates; Hominidae.